This 468-nucleotide ribosomal RNA is filed under the name uncultured bacterium. RNAcentral describes it as "partial 16S ribosomal RNA". It matches the Rfam family "Bacterial small subunit ribosomal RNA", at positions 28 to 507 of the family's 1533-position model. The record is from RNAcentral.
GACGAACGCUGGCGGCGUGCUUAACACAUGCAAGUCGAACGGAAAGGCCCUGCUUUUGUGGGGUGCUCGAGUGGCGAACGGGUGAGUAGCACGUGAGUAACCUGCCCUUGACUUUGGGAUAACUUCAGGAAACUGGGGCUAAUACCGGAUAGGAGCUCCUGCUGCAUGGUGGGGGUUGGAAAGUUUCGGCGGUUGGGGAUGGACUCGCGGCUUAUCAGCUUGUUGGUGGGGUAGUGGCUUACCAAGGCUUUGACGGGUAGCCGGCCUGAGAGGGUGACCGGCCACAUUGGGACUGAGAUACGGCCCAGACUCCUACGGGAGGCAGCAGUGGGGAAUAUUGCACAAUGGGCGGAAGCCUGAUGCAGCAACGCCGCGUGCGGGAUGACGGCCUUCGGGUUGUAAACCGCUUUCGCCUGUGACGAAGCGUGAGUGACGGUAGUGGGUAAAGAGGCACCGGCUAACUACGUG